UCCCCACAGUGGCCUUGGGGGAGAUGGCUCAGAUUUUGUACCCUGUGAACCUUCCCCUUGCUCACUUUCUCCCUUUCCAGCAGUCUAGCCCUGUCUCUGUUCCCUUAACUCUCCCUGCUUGCUCACUUCAUCCCCUGUGUUUCCAUCGGGAUCUCAUUCUUCUUGUUUGCCCUGCUGGAUCUGGCCGAGGGAGUGGCCCACCAGGUCAGACCAUCCUCCCUGGGCCAGCUCCUCUUCAAACACCAUGAGUUCUCCGUUACUUGCCACAGUGAUUCAGUGACAAAUAUCACUUCCACAGAGCAACAAUGAGGUCUCCAAGAGAAGUCCUGAAUACAAGAAAAUACCGAAAUGAAGGUUAUCGGAGUAGAAUACCAUCCAGACACAGCCUUGGCCUAUCAAGAUUCAUACAUAGAAGGAAUCUAGACUUUCAAGGAUCAAAGCCCCUGAGGAAACACUAGAUAAAAAGGACAGGAAGACAUCUUGCAAUUCUUAAGUAACACCCCAGUAAAAUGUUGAUAAGUAUCAUAAUUAUCCUAGUUCCCUUGACAUCAAGAGUAACUCUUGGGUGCAUAAACAUGUACCCAAAUUCAUAUUCAAUGAAGAUGCUUUCCUGGCACUGCCGCCUUCUUGCUUGAAAGAGUACGUCUGUAUCUACUUUACAAUAAAUUCUACCUAUAUUUCUGCA
Fukomys damarensis (Damara mole-rat) is the source of this 685-nucleotide long non-coding RNA. RefSeq lists it as uncharacterized. NCBI's taxonomy places the organism in Eukaryota, Metazoa, Chordata, Mammalia, Rodentia, Bathyergidae. The record is from RefSeq and is a predicted model, not a curated record. The transcript has 4 exons.